CUUUCUACUCUCUCUCUUCUCUAAUACUAGUAUUUUUUUUUUUCAUAUUAGAAUAAAAUAGAGGAUUUUUAUUCAUAAAUUAUUUGCUAUUUCUUACAUAACAUUUUACUUUCUUCAAGUUUUUCACAUAAUUUGGGCAUAAUGUUUCUGUAGGAAGAUGUGGUACUUUCAACUUAGGUCCUCUAUUGUGCAAACAGGUUUGGGUACUUCAGCUGUCUAAUUUUCUUUAUUGCGAAGGUUUUGUUAUUUUCUUUUUUCUUGCCCUUCCCCCAACAUAAUAGAAAGCAUAAAAAUAGGAUUUUAUUUUAUUUUAUUUUUAAAUUAUUAUAAUAAUGCUUGCAUAAGUGUCAUCAAGAAAGUUUUAAUUCCCACAAAAUUAUUUUUAUUUUCCCAAUAUUAUAUGUUCUUGAGCUUUAGCCAAUCAUUAGGUUUUCUAAUAUACUUUUUAAUAACUUGAUCAAUAAUUGCCCUCUUUUCUGAAAAAGUUAGAAUGCAUUGAGCAUAAUAAACAUAAUGCUAGAAUUUUGAAAUACAAUUAAGGAUCAGUAAUUGCCAAGCACCUAUGUCAUAUUCAAAAAUGAAAAAUGACUCUUUACAUCAAUACUUUCCAUAAUGUGCUCUUCUUGAUGAAGGCAAAGGCAGGAAAAAGAUGGAAUAUGAGAUUUCCUGCUGAACCUGGUCAGGGCAGUAAGGAUAGGAACCAUUCAUUUUCUUCCCCUACUUAUUAUAAAUUCCUUCAAAAGUUUAUGAGUGGUGGGUGAUGUAGAACAGAGCUCAUUAGAAUUCAGCGUGCGGGAAGUUCAAGAAGUAGAAAAGUACUAUUAGAAGUCGUUGGAGAUCACGGCAAAAUUGCGUGAAAUUUGGUGACAUGAAGGGAAAUGGUGUUGGGAGUAAAACUCAUAGCCUUUGGCCACGAUCGAACAUGCUUUUUGGUGGGGCAGCUUCAAAUCUUUUCAAGAAAUGAAACCCAAGAACAAGAAUGCACUACCUUCCAGUAAAGAAAGAUUACAGGCAAAAGAUUGGUCAUAAUCCAGAAAUCACAAAAGGCGGACUUACAAAUUGAUUCCAGUACUUUUUAUUCCUAAACUCACUAAGAAUUUGGAAAAUUGACUGCAAUAGGGAGUGUUGAUGACCUUGUUCGUGUUAUAUGGAAUUUUUCAGAAUCAUGAUGUCCGACAUUUCAGGCUACACACAAAUCAAACAUUAUGUGUGCCUAAGCUCAAGUUGCUGCCUCAUCUACUUGAACAAUUGCAAGUAAGAUAUUUUGAAAUCAAAAAGAGUAAACAAGAGUGGAUGACUUUCCACUAUAGUUGCAGAACCUUUAUUUAGUUGAUGAGAUGUCUAUAAACAGUUGCAAGAAGUUGAGAUAUCUACCAGCAUGGGUGUGGUGCCUCACUAAAUAACAGAUGAUGCCAUGCUGUGUGCACUAUAAGGAAGUAUAACUUGAGAUUCAAAUCAAAUUAAACGAGAAGGUUAACAUCUUUUUUCUUUUGAGAUCAAAUUAUAAUGUUGGGUUAGCUGGAACCAUGACUUGAAUGUACCUGCAAGUGUCAAUUGGGUAUAUUAGGUAUCACUUCGACAAUGAAUCAAGAUUCCUGACAAUUUGUCAGCUGUUCAAAUCCUAUGUUUUCGUUUCCUAACUUAAAGUCUCUGUUGCAGUGACUUCAGCAGUUUUCUAGAUUAUGAGUCUUCUCUUAUUGUCAGUCUUGUUGUCUUAACUACGAGGCCAACCUGUUUGGGUGCUCCACUUCAUAUCCCUGUAUGGAGGGUAACAGCCUACAGAUUGCAGACAAGGCAAUGGACAGAAGUCUCUGUCUGAAAAGUUGACAGUUCUUUACUUAAAUGGGUAAAUAUGAAGUCUACUUCCAGAAGGGAAUAGUUAAAAGCGCUGGAUACUCACUCUUUAGUGCGAUUCUAGUUUUCGAUUCCCUGGGCUGGUAUCUUGUAAAACAUCAAAAGGUAAUGCCAAUUGCAUUAGAAUGUGAAGUGUGCUGUUCAGCGGAGACAUCAUUGCUGCCUGUAUUUAAGACUCCAAUCUUGAUAAUAGGUGACCUUAUCUGCCACGACAAUAGAAUGUCUUCUCUAAGAACUGACUUUAUAUACUGAAGGCAUUGAAAUUUGUUUUCGACCUACAGCCGAAGCAAGGGAGAUAUGGCAAGCUACAAUGAUCCAUAUUGCCCAAGAAGGUGGCUGCUUUGUUCUAUCUUCGAACCAAUUCUGCAAAAAGGGAAGACUAUCUGCUGUCAACAGAAACAACUUGGAGGGUGUUUGAGCAAAGCUAGAUUUUAGUGGAAAUAGGCAUCAAGUGGGACCAAACUCAGUCAAUCUGACUCUGAAUAUACCCAAUCCAAUUUCUUUUACAACUUCUGUGAAAGCGGAAGUUCUUGAUGAGCUGCAAUUAUGACUUAGUUGUGUAAAAAGUUAUUAAAUAAAU
Quercus lobata is the source of this 2434-nucleotide long non-coding RNA. RefSeq lists it as uncharacterized. The transcript is spliced from 13 exons. Lineage: Eukaryota; Viridiplantae; Streptophyta; Magnoliopsida; Fagales; Fagaceae. The record is from RefSeq and is a predicted model, not a curated record.